RNAcentral lists this non-coding RNA (31 nucleotides) under Mus musculus (house mouse). Lineage: Eukaryota; Metazoa; Chordata; Mammalia; Rodentia; Muridae. The record is from RNAcentral.
UGGAAGCUUUAUGGUGCAACCCCUUCUUCCC